This 64-nucleotide microRNA precursor is filed under the name Eptatretus burgeri (inshore hagfish). Its description in RNAcentral is "Ebu-Mir-190-P5_pre stem-loop". It matches the Rfam family "mir-190 microRNA precursor family", at positions 11 to 67 of the family's 78-position model. Lineage: Eukaryota; Metazoa; Chordata; Myxini; Myxiniformes; Myxinidae. The record is from RNAcentral.
UGAUAUGUUUGGUAUAUUAGGUUGUCUUGGAUCCAAACGCAACUAUAUAUCAAACAUAUUUGUA